CAGAGGGGGCAAGCGUUGUUCGGAAUUACUGGGCGUAAAGGGCGCGUAGGCGGCCUGCUAAGUCGAACGUGAAAUCCCUGGGCUCAACCCAGGAACUGCGUCCGAUACUGGUUGGCUUGAAUCCGGGAGAGGGAUGUGGAAUUCCAGGUGUAGCGGUGAAAUGCGUAGAUAUCUGGAGGAACACCGGUGGCGAAGGCGACAUCCUGGACCGGUAUUGACGCUGAGGCGCGAAAGCCAGGGGAGCAAACGGGAUUAGAUACCCCGGUAGUCCUGGCCCUAAACGAUGAAUGCUUGGUGUGGUGGGUAUCGAUCCCUACCGUGCCGAAGCUAACGCAUUAAGCAUUCCGCCUGGGGAUACGGUCGCAAGGCUG
RNAcentral lists this ribosomal RNA (371 nucleotides) under uncultured organism. RNAcentral's name for it is "bacterial SSU rRNA". It matches the Rfam family "Bacterial small subunit ribosomal RNA", at positions 526 to 896 of the family's 1533-position model. The record is from RNAcentral.